GGAGUCAAAGAUCAGGUGCCCAUAUCAAGGGUCCCAUGCUGUGUCCCAUCAUUGUGGAAAAGUAGAAGAGCAAGCAGAGUGACAGAAGAGAGACAGGGAGAGGGGUUGGGCUUGUGUUCUAAUGACUCUCCCCCAUAUUAACCAAUUCAGUACUGAGAACCACACGAACUCCUUUCAACAACCUGAUCCACUAUUGAAUGGGAAAACUGGGAAGAAAGUGAGGAACUGCAAUGAUCAUACACUUCUCUGUGGUCUCCUGCCAGCUGGAUGUCAACAGCUGUCUGUAUUGUCAUACUGUUCCAGGUUCUUGUCUAAAGAGUUUUAGACGAAAAGGAAGUCGGAGGUCAAGUACAUCGACUGUCCAUUCCACACAGAAGGCCGGAAAAAUCCAUGUCUUGCCAAAGAACAGGAUGCCCACAACAAAGGAAUCAGUUGAAGCUGCUCCUGAGGACCUGGUGGAAGCGAUUCCGAGAGACAGAGCAGAGGAGGAGGUCACAUCUCUUGGCAAGGUAUGACUGGGGUUUUUGGUCACAGAAACAAAUGUUCCUGGUAUACAAUCACUAGUCUUAUUUACUUAUUUAUUUGAAAGGCAGAGUUACACAGAGACAGGGGAAGAGAACAAAAGAUCUUCCAUCUAGUAGUUUACUCCCCAGAUGCCUUCAAAGGCCAGAGUUGGUCCAGGCCAAAGCCAGGAGUCCAGUGUGCUACCCAGAUCUCACACAUGAGUGACAUGGGACAUUCUCCAUGCCUCCCCAGGCACAACAGCAUGGCAUUGUAUUGGAAGCUGAGCAACCAGGAUGCAAACUGGCACUGCAGGAUGGACUGCUGGCACUGCAGGCAGCAGUUCCGUUCACUGUGUCACAACAUCAGGCCCAGGCAACGUUUUUCUCAGAUACGAAAAUCUGAACGCCUAUACUGCAGAUGACUUCCACAAUUUAUUUGUGGGGGACGUUAGCCAGCGAAUUACCCAGCAGAAAAUGUGUCAGCCUUACUGGGCCAGCAUCAAUUACAAGUGAUGUGGUGCUGGGCGUUUUCCACAGGAGCAGUUCUGCAUAGUUUAAAUAUUUUAUGAUUUAAAAGAUUUAUUCAUUAUUUGAAAGGCAGAAUAACAGAGAGACAGACAGACAAAGACCUUAAAUCCUCUGGUUACCUUCCCAAAUGGCUAUAAUGGCUGGGGCUGGGCCAUGUGGAAGCCAGGAGCUAGGAACUCCAUCUGGGGGGGGUCUCCCACUGGUUGGAAGGGACUCAAAUACUUGGGACAUCCUCCACUGCCUUCCCAGGUACAUGAGCAGGGAACUGGCAGCAGCAGGGCAGCCUGGACUUGAUUUGGUGCUCUGAUAUGGGAUGCUUGCCUCACAGGGGGCAGCCUAACCCAGUGUGCCACAAGGCCAACCCCCAGGUUUUCAUUUUCACAAAUGAAUGUUGCAUUUGCCAACCAAAAUGAACACGUAAAAUGGGCUGUGAAAAGCUCACGUAUUUCACACAAGUAUCCUCUGUGCUUUAUUUGGGGCAUUUGCCUCAUGCACUGUAUCCCAUCAAGUUUCCCAAGGUCAGCACCAGGAGAAGAGACCUGUGCAAACAGUAUCUGACCUCACAGUGACUUCCUUUCUCUGACUGCAGGUGGACUCAGGAUCCAGUGGACACUGUACGUAUUCUAGAAUGCCUCAGGUGCUGAGGAACAACUGAAGGGAGGAGACACUGGGACCUUCCUGCCGGUUCUCUUCUGGAGAGCCAACCUGAUUCCAGCUUCCUGGUGGAUUAAAAAGAUUGAGGGUGUGGUAAAACAAAAACCAGAAAGACUAGCACAUAGCUACAGGCAUCUAAGGCAGGCUCUGGAAAUAGCUAUGUCAUUUAGAUGGUGGGGGUUUCUGUGCCCCAGUAUGGUGAGUUUUUAUGAGUGAGCGUGUAUGUCUUUGAAAGUGCUUGGAUGUGUAUAUGUGUACAUAUUUCCCACAGAAAAAGUGUUCCCAAAUGCACAGCUCAAGGUUCAAUUCUCAAAAAAAAAAACAAAAAAGAACCUGAUCACCGUCUGAACUUUAUGUAAGUGAGCUCAUUCAACCCUCACCCCACAUGUGUCUGAUGGUUAGGUCACAAUUCCAUGGCUUAGCUGGAUAUGAAACAUACUCCCAACAUAUGUGAAAAGUAUUUAAUACUAAUGAAAACAGUUUAAAAUAUAUUUAGGGAGCUGGAAAGGUCAACAUGAUUUGAUCAUCACACACUGUCUGCAUACAAUGAAUUCUUAUGCUAUAAUCCAUAAAGAUACCAUUUCUAAUGGUAAUAAAAACAAUAAGAUCAGGAGAAAAGUUUUACCA
Oryctolagus cuniculus (rabbit) is the source of this 2312-nucleotide long non-coding RNA. Lineage: Eukaryota; Metazoa; Chordata; Mammalia; Lagomorpha; Leporidae. The record is from Ensembl.